Molecule: ribosomal RNA, 441 nt
Filed under: uncultured bacterium
Lineage: Bacteria
Description: SSU rRNA
Rfam family: Bacterial small subunit ribosomal RNA
Source: RNAcentral
AGAGCGAACGCUGGCGGCAGGCUUAACACAUGCAAGUCGAGCGGGCGUAGCAAUACGUCAGCGGCAGACGGGUGAGUAACGCGUGGGAACGUACCUUUUGGUUCGGAACAACACAGGGAAACUUGUGCUAAUACCGGAUAAGCCCUUACGGGGAAAGAUUUAUCGCCGAAAGAUCGGCCCGCGUCUGAUUAGCUAGUUGGUGAGGUAAUGGCUCACCAAGGCGACGAUCAGUAGCUGGUCUGAGAGGAUGAUCAGCCACAUUGGGACUGAGACACGGCCCAAACUCCUACGGGAGGCAGCAGUGGGAAUAUUGGACAAUGGGCGCAAGCCUGAUCCAGCCAUGCCGCGUGAGUGAUGAAGGCCCUAGGUUGUAAAGCUCUUUUGUGCGGAAGAUAUGACGGUACGCAAGAAUAAGCCCGGCUAACUCGUGCCAGCAGCCGC